UGGAUCACCUCCUAACAGGGAGACAACAAAAUGUUUAAUAUUAUUAUUUUGUCACCUUAGGUCGAUCGGUAUCUCACAUCCUUAAAUUAAUUAAGGAUUUUAUUUCCUAAGUUUUUCUAGGUCACACCCAUUAUUUUUCCUGGGCCAUUAGCUCAGGUGGUUAGAGCGCACCCCUGAUAAGGGUGAGGUCCCUGGUUCAAGUCCAGGAUGGCCCAUAUCUCUAUGUUGGGGGUAUAGCUCAGUUGGUAGAGCGCCUGCUUUGCAAGCAGGAUGUCAGCGGUUCGAGUCCGCUUACCUCCACUGAUUACCACCUCUUCCAUAAUUUUAAGGAAAUGUUUUGAGUUGUGAUCAAAUUCUGAGCGAAUCUAGCUUCCUAAUGAAAUCAUUAAGAUGCUGGACUCAUUGAAUUAAAUUCAUUGUUUUCAGAGAACCUUGACAACUGCAUAGAUUAUUUUUAAAGACAAUAAGCAUCUUUAAUGAUGCAGAUUUAUUAUUUGUGCGAAUGCAUUAAUAACAAUUCUAUUAAGCUGAUGCUUCAAUUUUUGAAGUUAUUGGUCAAGCUACAAAGGGCUCACGGAGGAUACCUAGGCACACAGAGGCGAUGAAGG
RNAcentral lists this transfer RNA (608 nucleotides) under uncultured Prochlorococcus sp. RNAcentral's name for it is "partial contains 16S ribosomal RNA, 16S-23S ribosomal RNA intergenic spacer, and 23S ribosomal RNA". The stretch from base 228 to 300 matches the Rfam family "tRNA". The record is from RNAcentral. Lineage: Bacteria; Bacillati; Cyanobacteriota; Cyanophyceae; Synechococcales; Prochlorococcaceae.